Molecule: long non-coding RNA, 351 nt
Organism: Sinocyclocheilus rhinocerous
Lineage: Eukaryota; Metazoa; Chordata; Actinopteri; Cypriniformes; Cyprinidae
Exons: 3
Source: RefSeq, a predicted model, not a curated record
CUUUGGUGGCGGUGCUGUACGGCCUCAUCACAUCAGGUGAUCUGAUGUAUCGCGAGAGCCUUCACUGCAUCCUCACCUCCUUCCACAUCCUCUCAGGACAAGGUGACGUCCUCAACAUCGACCCUUUGAAAUUCUACAACCACUUAUACAAAACGCUGCUGACGCUGCACGCAGGUGAGAUCUUCUCCAGUGUCUCUUUGUUCUGCACAUGCAGUGACACUGGGUUAUUUAAUAUGAGUGAGAACAUCAGUCACUUACACACCGUGGUGUCCCGGACAUUUAUUUUUAAGAAUUAAAUGCACAACUGCGAGACCCUCAAAAAAAAGUUUAAACUAAAAUGGUUUAAAACAC